CAAUAGCGUAUAUUUAAGUUGUUGCAGUUAAAAAGCUCGUAGUUGGAUUUCGGGUGGGACGCAGCGGUCUCGCAUUGCGUUUGUACUGCUGCAGCCCUCCUUCUUGCCGGGGGCGGCCUCUCGGACUUCACUGUCUGGGGGUCAGAAUCGGCGAUGUUACUUUGAGUAAAUUAGAGUGUUCAGAGCAAGCUUACGCUCUGAAUAUAAUAGCAUGGGAUAACACGACAGGACUCUGGCCUAUCGUGUUGGUCUAUAGGACCAGAGUAAUGAUUAAGAGGGACAGUCGGGGGCAUUCGUAUUCCGUUGUCAGAGGUGAAAUUCUUGGAUUUACGGAAGACGAACAUCUGCGAAAGCAUUUGCCAAGGAUGUUUUCAUUGA
RNAcentral lists this ribosomal RNA (378 nucleotides) under uncultured eukaryote. Its description in RNAcentral is "partial 18S ribosomal RNA". It matches the Rfam family "Eukaryotic small subunit ribosomal RNA", at positions 592 to 976 of the family's 1831-position model. The record is from RNAcentral.